GACGAACGCUGGCGGCGUGCCUAACACAUGCAAGUUGAGCGGAGAUAUAUGGAGCUUGCUUUAUAUAACUUAGCAGCGAACGGGUGAGUAACACGUAGAUAAUCUAUCCUAUACUGGGGGAUAGCCCGAUGAAAGUUGGAUUAAUACCGCAUAUAGCUAUAUAGUUGCAUGAUUAUGUAGUGAAAGAUUUAUUGGUAUAGGAGGAGUCUGCGGCACAUUAGCUAGUAGGUGAGGUAAAGGCUUACCUAGGCGACGAUGUGUAGCCGGUCUGAGAGGAUGAACGGCCACAAUGGAACUGAGACACGGUCCAUACUCCUACGGGAGGCAGCAGUGGGGAAUAUUGCACAAUGGGGGAAACCCUGAUGCAGCAACGCCGCGUGAGUGAAGAAGGUUUUCGGAUUGUAAAGCUCUGUUAGCAGGGAAGAGGAAGGACGGUACCUGCAGAGGAAGCCACGGCUAACUACGUGCCAGCAGCCGCGGUAAUACGUAGGUGGCAAGCGUUGUUCGGAAUAACUGGGCGUAAAGGAUGCGUAGGCGGUUAAACAAGUUAUAUGUUAAAUAUAUAGGCUUAACCUGUAGAAAGCAUAUAAAACUGUUUAACUAGAGUGCAGGAGAGGUAAGUGGAAUUCCUAGUGUAGCGGUGAAAUGCGUAGAGAUUAGGAAGAACACCAGUGGCGAAGGCGACUUACUGGACUGUAACUGACGCUGAGGCAUGAGAGCAUGGGGAGCAAACAGGAUUAGAUACCCUGGUAGUCCAUGCUGUAAACGAUGGGUACUAGGUGUGGGUUGUGAAUAACAAUUCGUGCCGUCGCAAACGCAAUAAGUACCCCGCCUGAGGAGUAUGAUCGCAAGAUUAAAACUCAAAGGAAUUGACGGGGACCCGCACAAGCAGCGGAGCAUGUGGUUUAAUUCGAAGCAACGCGAAGAACCUUACCUAAACUUGACAUACCUUGAAUUACCUUGUAAUGAGGGAAGCUCGCAAGAGCAAGGAUACAGGUGGUGCAUGGUUGUCGUCAGCUCGUGUCGUGAGAUGUUGGGUUAAGUCCCGCAACGAGCGCAACCCUUGUUGUUAAUUGCUAACAGGUCAAGCUGAGCACUUUAGCGAGACAGCCUAGGUUAACUAGGAGGAAGGUGGGGAUGACGUCAAAUCAUCAUGCCCCUUACGUUUAGGGCUACACACGUGCUACAAUGGUGAGAACAGAGAGAAGCAAGCUAGUGAUAGUGAGCAAAACUUAUAAAACUCAUCUCAGUUCGGAUUGCAGGCUGAAACUCGCUCUGUAUGAAGAUGGAGUUGCUAGUAAUCGCGAAUCAGAAUGUCGCGGUGAAUACGUUCCCGGGUCUU
This 1342-nucleotide ribosomal RNA is filed under the name uncultured bacterium. Its description in RNAcentral is "bacterial SSU rRNA". It matches the Rfam family "Bacterial small subunit ribosomal RNA", at positions 28 to 1382 of the family's 1533-position model. The record is from RNAcentral.